GUCUGGGACGGGAAGAGAGGACCUCUAAUCCGCGAGACUGGAUCAGAGAGGUUGAAAAAAUACUCAAGGCAGGACCAAAAGACCGCUGCCCGAGGACGAUCGCGAUUAAAAGGGAUAGAUCGGGAAGAUCUGGUCCCAGUGUGGAUGAGUUUACCGAAGGAUGCUGCGGAGAUUCUUUUAAAUGGAGGGAAAAGGCAAGUCAUCCUCAAGAAGACUUCGAGCGCCAUACCUUCCGCAAAGUCAUAGGACAGAUACGAAAACAGAACAGAGCGCUCGAAAAUAGGGAUACCGCUGCAAUAUACGUGUCUUUCUGUGUCUUUCUUCGCUGUGUUAACGUGUCUUCGCGAUACAGAAGAGGAACGCUAUUGUGCAUCGGUGUUAAGCCGCGAAGGAGGGCGUAUUUGCAUAGACAAGAGGAGUCGCAGCAUCUGAGCUGCAUGUGGAAACAUUCCUGUUCUUACACCAGGAUAGUCCGUGUUUAAGUACUGCGCGGGUUUUGUCCUCUUUUUUCGAUAUGCGACCUAGUAGCAUUUCACACGUGAUGCUUCCAUUGCUCAUUUCUUCAAAUACAUCAAGGACAAAGGACGCAGAGCGCCGAUUUAAAGAAUGCAUGAAGAAACCCGUGGACACGAAGCAAUUUUUUUUUUUUUUUUUGCUUUGAUUUAUAUUUUACCCCGAAGGAAAAUGGAAUUGAGGGCAAGAGUAAUUGCAUUGUAUCGACUUAUUUUUCCAUUGUGUAAGCUUAGACAUGGUGCACGUCAUUAAUCUGUCUUUAAACUGCAUUAACAACCGUAUCAGAUAUGGACAACACCACUGAAGACUAAAGUGGUGGAUGGAAAGGUGUUAAGUUCGCCUCGUAUGUUUAGCUCGCAUGCGAUUCCUUUGCCAAAGCAGUGUUGUAGUGAAAGUGUUCAAAUGUUCUAGCCUACCUCUCUCUCGUUCUCUCUCGGAAGCUCGGUUAGAUUACAUGUGCAAGUCAAGGCGCGAAAUUUGAGUGUCAAAUGAGGCUCGAGGGGUUUUGCUCAUGACCAUUGGGCUGCUGCUGCUGCAGUUCGUUCGUUCUCAGAGUUCUCGCUCUGCGUGUUCACAGCGGACCUUGAUUUAAUGUCCAUACAAUUAAGGCACGCGGUGAAUGCCAAGAGAAGAAUGUCUCUAGCAACCAGUUUUCUCUACAGUUAUAGCCAACUGCUCAACUCAGAAAUCAAGGCACUAAAGAGGGGAAAGCGUUCGCGUUCAGAACACCCUUCUGUGUGACCAAUAAAUCAAGUUUAUUAUUAUAACUUAUUAAUAAGAGAUUUAGAACGACCACCUACAGCAGUCUGUAGAAAAGUGAAUGGUUAGCCAGUAGUUUUGUUUUCCGAAAUAUCGAAUUUCCAAGCAAUUUAAGUAACAAACAUCUGAGGCCUGAUUGCGACUGCGUAGAUUAAUUGGAAAAUUGAUCCUAGUGCACAGAAAUUUUAAAGGGGGGGGGGGGGGUUAUUUGAGGCCACUGUCACUUUGUGUGGAUAGUUAAACCCUGCAUUCGACGAUGUUGGACACUGUAAAAAAACGCACAUGGUUUCGCGGCUGUAGAUAGUAUAAACCAUUUAUAUGCUCUCAUCCAAACAGAUUUGCUUCAGCUGCAAAGUGACGUGAAUGUAGAUUGAUGUUACUGUAUGAGGGCGCCAUCUAUUGGGCACAUUCUCAAUGUUGUCUUGUCAACACAACUGAGGAAUAAUAUGCUGUACUGAUAAUUACAUCAAGUCACAUUUUCCACACUGUACUCUGUUCAGUCUUAAAAUACUUAAAAGAAUACAGUUCUUAUUCAAAAGAAAAAAGAAACCGGUGAAUCAAAACUGUAUAUGAACAUAUCUCGAACAGGCCAUCUAAAAUUGUUCACGUAUUGGAUCUUUAAGAUGCUUUGGAAAUGGUCCUUUUGCCUCAACAUAACUGAAACCUAAUUUUGAAUUCAUACUCCAAAGCUCAAAAACGGUUAUCUAAUGUAAUAAUGGGCGAAUGGUAAAAUAUAAGAACAAAAAUGGCGCUGCAAUUACCUUCGACAAAACCUGUCAAUGGAGAAAACGUAGGCCUACACCUGUCAAUGCAACAUCUGGAAUGAUCAGCUAAAAACUACCUUUUAAAUGCAAAUCUGAAGCUACAUAGAUUUAUCAGAGUGAUUAAAAUGUCAGAAAUAAAUUAAGUUCUUGUUUUUGUUUCGUAGCUUACACCAAUCAAACGAUCAAAUGUCAUCACAUAAUGUUAUUUUUAACAGGGUUAGUUUAGAUAUAAACGAUGAAAGACUGAAAUAUCUAUUAUUCUUAUCAUGCAUCACCAACGAAACUUCACAUCAUUACAUCACAAAAUACUAAGUCAAAUUACAUUCAUUUUAAAUAAGGCGAUAUAUACUCCGUUAACAACAGCUGGACUAUGUGUGUAAAAUGCAACACUCUUAUGGCAAUUCUUAAAGAUUUUACGUUUUGUCGAAAUGGUGGCAAAUUAGUACGACCUCAUUUGUACGUUUUAACCAUUAAGGGUUGGGUUUAGGGCUGGACCUUCAUGCUUUUUUUUUUUUUUUAAUCGUACGAAUUAAUACGAAAUUUUUAACUCGUAAAAUCAAUUAACCCAAUUUCCAAUUAUUUACACAGCCGCAGGGCUAGGCCUAUUAUUUGAGGAUAAGGAAGAUUACAUAAUUUUGUCUUGUAAAGUCCAAGAUAUGCUAGAGAAAACUCACUAAAUAUCUAAUAGAUGUUUUGCACAAACCUCUACAUUGACAGAAAUAUUGGACAUAUACAGAUAAUAGAGCUCUACACAGGUAAGUAACAGCCUUCAGCUAAACAUCUCCUGUUAACAUUCUUAGCAUAUUGUGGUGUAAUUUCUAAAUAAACAUGGAUAAUUCCAAUUUGUUUGGUUGUCUGUUUUUUUUUUUUCCCUUCCCAAACAUCGUCAUCUAAAUCACUGCAUUGUUGCUGUGAUGUGGUUAAAAUACAAAGUACCAUGCUAAUGCACUGGGCAUUAAAUAAAGGUAGGCUAUUUUAUAGUCUUUUGUUUUGUCCAUUUUGCCUUUAUCAAAUCUGAUUAAUAUUAAUCUUAAAAGCUCAAGUGCGUCAAAAAGUGCGCCACUAACUUCACUAUAAAAGGAAUUGCAAAAAUAAUGACCGUUUCAAACUGGUGUCUUAAACACUCCCUCUGCCUUCGUUGGUCCCGCCCCAAACUCACACCAUUAUUUGAGCCUUGUCAGACUGGGCCGUGCUUCAAUGUAGAAACUAUGGAGCGAAGCAUCUUACUGGCUGAGUAUACAAUACAACUUUAAAAUGUACCGAGUAUAAAGUGUGGUUUUAAUUUUGGUAUGCUGUUAUUUAUAUUUUAUUUAAUUUGAAUGUAAUCAAUAAUUUACCAUACUUAAAUACAUAAAAUACAAAUGAACGAAUAAACAUUUCUUCCUGUUAUUUGGAAAAUCAGUCAAAGGCCUCGGGUAUCAAGCAUUCAAUUAACCAAUUAAUUACAUAAUUAAUCUGAACAAUUACUCUAUUAAACAUUCGCCAGUCAUGCAAAUUGAAACCAUUUCAAACGUUACGCAAAGAGACUGCUAAACAUAAAGAGAGAACGCUAAACUGAUCCAUCCGGAUACUGGUUAAAUAAAUAAACAAAUACAGUUAGCUUUCACACUUUUGGGGGGAAUCAGCCUACUUUUGGUUUAUACAUAUUAAGCUGAGGUAUGAAAAAUAUUUUAAUAUAAAAGAACACACAUCACCUUUAAGGAAAUGUGACAAGCUGCCAAAUGACGAGGCGAUAUUUGGGGCAUACAAUCAGGACCAUGGAGAGCUCCCGCUCCGAGUGUGCGCUCAGCACUUGCUCUUCUCUCGUUUAUUCGAACAGUUAAAAUUGACAAACAAUGAUAACAAGCCUGUAUUGACGUUGUCGUUUUAUUACAGUUACACACUAACCCAAGUUCGUUCAGUGGUGAAAGAAACAAAGGCACAUUAAUAAUAUUGCAGCCUAGCGGGGUAAAGCUCUUAAACUGACCGGCCUCUAUACUGUGGCGAAAUACGAUCCCGCUGAUCAAAGGAUACACACCACAGAUUCCUUUCAAAUACUCGUUACGAGCUCACAGCCCGCGAGAUUUACAGCUGACACAUAUAUCUAAGCAUUUUCUAAACAGCUUACCUAUCAGUUCAACUAAUCGCCUUUGGAUAAAACGCAACUGUUUCUCGCAAAUUUGCGGAUGUUAUCUUCCUGAAACUGCACUGUGCAUCUGGCUGCACACAAACACACUUUUCAUGUGUCUAAUACUUUAAAUUUGCAUAUCUAUAUCCAAAGUUGUCCAGUGUAAGAAUACUGGAGUAUGUUUUAUUGUUGGAGUAUGUAC
Cyprinus carpio carpio is the source of this 4345-nucleotide long non-coding RNA. Lineage: Eukaryota; Metazoa; Chordata; Actinopteri; Cypriniformes; Cyprinidae. The record is from Ensembl.